ACAGAGUCCUUCUUCAGCCUGGAAGGGUUCAGCUCAGCUCUGCUGGCACUGGCUCGCCCCUCAUUGGAAGUAUCUACAGGUCUUGGAGCUGAGACAGGAACUGACUUCAAGUAAGGUGACUGGAUCAGAGUGAUGCCAGGCCCUCUGCAGCCAUUUUGUGUCCAUGAGAAGAGCUAGUCCAGAGACAAAGUGGACAUUCAGAGAAGGACACAAAGGAGCAAAUCCCAAUCCCUAGAGGCAUUCCAUCAGUUCACCCACCCCCUGGGCUUUGCACAAGAUGGAGAUCUGAGGUCUGGGCCUGAAACCACAUGCUUCAACCAUCUGACAGCAUUUACUCCUGCACCAGGUUCCAGAUUCUGGAGAAAAGGGCUCAGAAAAGUCCUCCAUAAGGUCCCUCCUCCGAUAAGACUUCUUCCUGCAGAAUCACAUCUCCAUUAAGAGCAUGCCAGGCAAAUGCUACCAACGAAUGGGAACCAGCACACUAGGUUAAACACAUUAUACAGGGGAUGACCCAUGAUGUAAAGCUGAGUGGAAGGAAGCCCAAUAGUAAGUACAGCACAAAAUAGUUCUUAAAAGGAGAAACUAAGCAUGCUGGUGCAAAUGAUAAAUGUAGGAAAGUGACAUCUCCUAGGGGUGUGGUGUGUGUGUGUGUGUGUGUGUGGUUGGGAUUGCAAUGUUCCUUUUCUCUUUUGUGUUGCCUCUGCACUGAGUGGCUACUCAUUUGAUGCAUAUGCUCAUUGAGCAUCUAUUAUGUGCCAGUCCUCUAUUAGGGAUGCAAGGAUGAUCAAGAUUAAUG
This 796-nucleotide long non-coding RNA is filed under the name Sus scrofa (pig). RNAcentral's name for it is "lncRNA (ENSSSCG00070000781.1)". Lineage: Eukaryota; Metazoa; Chordata; Mammalia; Artiodactyla; Suidae. The record is from RNAcentral.